Molecule: long non-coding RNA, 1056 nt
Organism: Episyrphus balteatus (marmalade hoverfly)
Lineage: Eukaryota; Metazoa; Arthropoda; Insecta; Diptera; Syrphidae
Exons: 3
Source: RefSeq, a predicted model, not a curated record
CUGACAGCUGUCAAUUUCUGAUAAUUAUUUUGAUUUGGUUGCGAAAUAAAAGUUUUUUUCAAGUUAGUUUAUAAAAAAUGUGCAAAAGUUAGAUGAGAACAAUGAUAAUUAAUUAAUAAUCGGUCCAAUUCUGGAAAUGUGUUACCCCAUCCAGCUAAUGCCACAACCCAAAAUAUUGGUCGCUUGUCCCAAUAAGAAAAUAAUCAUAGCAAGCCCUCAAAAUUCUUACAAAUUCCAAAACCUACAAACCAUAACAACAUACAAAAACAACAGCAGCGGUCGAUCGAAUUCAACAACGCAAAAAAAAAUAAUAUUCAGGAAUAACCCCCAUAUAGCAGGACUGGGAGGAUAAUAGUUUUGUAUGUGGACACAUUACUUGUUCCAGCGACAAUUUUUUGGUGGUGACAAAAAGCACCCUCGAAGUAAUAAGACUAGAAGCUGAAUUAGAAUUAGAAGAAGUAGUCGGUUGCCAAAUGCCUUGGGGCGUCUUGAUGGGGUGUCCUUUAAAGUAUCCUAUUUUAGUGAAGCAUUUAAAGUUCGUACAAAAGAAUCAAAAGAUGAUUUUCCCAAUCGACACGAUUGGGAUAUAUUCUUUCGUGAUGCUCAUUACAUGGAUGAAAUGAAAGCUGGCGAAAGACCCGAGACAAUUCAUUUUGCAAAUCUACCAAUUCGUUGGUUUUGUCCACGUCACAGUGAAAAUGAUGAAAAUGUACAAAUUUCUACUUUUAUCUAAAUUUUUGUUUAAAUAUAAAUAAUUUAUGUAUAAAUGUGUAUUUAAAAUGUAGUUACGUUGCACUUGAUAAAUAUCUUUAAUCUUAUGUUUCAUUUUAAAUGCAAUGAUAUAUGUGCGUAUUGUUUUUUUUUUCAAAUAUCGAAUUGAGUCUACAUAAAAGUAAAUGCAUGUUUCUUUUGUGUAUAAUGCAGCAGGUCUUUAAACCACACCAGUUAAAGCUUAAACAAAAAAAUUACACAUAAAUCCCUAAUAAUUAUCUGUCUUUCAUAAUUACAAUAAAGUAAAAACUUAAAAUUAAUUUAAAUAAAUAAAAACAUAUCGAA